GGGAGGUUGCCGGCAAGAACAGGCGUGGGGGGGGGGAGAGAAAAACGGUUCCUUCUUGCGGAGGACGCGCCACUGGAUGAGCCCAUCCGGCCAAAAUUUUCGGAUAUGGCCAGCCAGGACAUUUGGAGUAUAUUCAUUUUUGCUGGAUGCCCUCAAUAUCAAACGAGUGGCAUUCAUAAAAAAAAUGGAUAUCCCUAUCCCAUCCAAGCGCACCCAGGCAAGCAAACGCACCCCUUAAAGAAACCCUUCAUAUUUAAAAGACACUUGGAAUUGCAUAUAUGUGCAUUAUUUCGUGGUAAGUGAAUUGUAGAUACAGUUCCAGGGGUUUGAGCUCUGAAGUUGUUUGCUUUCGCCAUGGGGCAAGCAAAGGCGUGCAGAACUUGAACCACAGGCAAUUGGCAACUAAGCAUAGUGGACCUGCAAAUAGCAGAUUCAGUUAACAAGUACUUGCAGAAACUCACCUCUUCUUAUCCAAGUAUUCUCUGAUAUCCACAGCAAGCAAGCCCACAUCGGAGGCAUCGCGUACCCGCAGACACCCAAGCUCGUCGAGUACCUUGAGUAGCACCUCUCUUGAGCUCCUGUCCGGAGCAGAUACCCAUGCCCGUACCUUGAAUUGCAGGCCGACGCAGCUGUUGUACACCUCUCUCGCAAGAACAGUCUUCCCUGAGCCAGGGAAUCCGACGACGGAGAUCACUUUCAGCUGCUUCCGUUGGCCCUCCUCCAGCUGCUCCAGGAGCUCGUCCCGGGAAACUUCGAUCCCCACCAGAUCCUUCUCGAAGAUGCGCGGACUAUGCGCAAACAAGGAGGAGGAGGAGGAGGAGGAUGGCUCCUCCAACUGGGCAGAGGAAGAGGAAGACUGACCGGCAACCGCAAAGGCUGCGUACCUUUCCUUCCGCUGGUGCGAUUCCUCCAGAACCUUCUUCAGGAGUCGCGGAUCCGUGGCCAGCCGCUUCCGGGACUGCAUCUCCCUCGGGUAGCGGAGAACGCGGCGGAGGAAGCAGGACGACGUCUCCUGCUGCUCGCGGUAGACGAAGCGGUCGAUGCAGUCCUCGAUGUGGUGAGCCAGGUCGCGCAGCUCUCCCAUGGACAGGCUCAGCACCGUUCCUUGACCCCCGCCGCCGCCGCCGCCGCCGCCGCUCCACGAGGGGAGCAGCCGGUGGUGAUAUUCGUCGAUUGCGCCAUGGAUCAUGCAGAGCUCUUUCUCAAGGAACCUGAUGUCGUCUCUGAUGGAUCUCUGCAGAUUGUAUCUCGCCGAUGCCAGCGACAAGAGCUUGGGCAGGAUGAGUUCUAUGAAUCCGCUCAAAAGGGUGGCCUCCAUCUCCCUCUCCCGCCUAUCUCAACACCUCUCUUCAGACCCAGGGUUGAGCAGGAUGGGAACUGGGGAUAUCAGCUAGCUAGCGCACUGCAUCUGUGUUUUUAGUGCAAUGGAUAUGGAUUGGAAUCAACGUCCUAGAGAACAAUGUAAAACACCUACAUAAUAAGCAGUAACAACAAAUUGAGACCCCGCCUAUGCAGACAUUAAAGAAAGAUGACAAUGUAAGCACCUACAUAAGCAUCACCGUCUCCAAUGCAAAUCUACUGUUUUAAAAUCUA
Brachypodium distachyon (stiff brome) is the source of this 1593-nucleotide long non-coding RNA. RefSeq lists it as uncharacterized. The transcript is spliced from 2 exons. The record is from RefSeq and is a predicted model, not a curated record. Lineage: Eukaryota; Viridiplantae; Streptophyta; Magnoliopsida; Poales; Poaceae.